CUAAUAUUCAUAUCAGCUGAUCCCUAGAGAUCAACUGCAGCUUCCAUUGCAUAAAUGAUUAUUAUCUUCAUUAGCAGCUUGUUUAAUUUUCACAAUUCCUUGCUCUUUUAAAAUUUGUUUUAGAUAAUCAGAAUGGAGAUGGAAAAGUGGAGCACUGAAAAAUAGCUCUCAGGAAAGUCCUGCCAUUCCAGGUGCAUACAAGGAGAUAGAAUUAAGUCUCUUUUAACUUGUAAACACUUCAUGCAGUUGUGCUACCAAUUUUAUACAUGUUUGCUCUAACAAGAACAUGUAUGAAGAGUUCAUUGGAAUGUUUUUGCACUAAGCUUGAGAGGAUUGCAUCUGACAAUCAACCAUGGCGUGACAGGGGCUUUUUCAUAAUAUUCAUUGUUUGUAAAACCAGGCUUGGGGCCACUAUUAGAAUUCUAUGUGAGUACAAACAUCUCUUUAAGCCCUUUAUUACUAUUAUUUGGAACAUGUAUAAAUAAUACUUUUACAAAUGUAUUUAUUUAGUCAGAUACCAACCUGCCUGAACAAUCUGUUGUCUUUUUAUUUAAAAAUGAACAGAUUUAGUUCAUUCUGCAUUAUGGAACUAGAACAGAUCCCAUUUGAAAACCAGUGUGGGCACUCUGCCAAGGCUGAGGUAGAAUUGGUUGGCAUUUAGAGAUUACUCAAUCAGAACAUUUUAUUUAAAGUUUACAUAUAAAUUUAUUAGUGUAAUUUUCUGCAUAGUUUCACAUAAACAUUUUGACUAUUUCAAGAACAGAUUUGGACUACUCUGAAGCCCCAAGUGCAAGCUGAUAAAUGCCUAGUUGCUGUUAUACUCCACUUAGUAUUCCAACACAGACAAACUGAAAUAUGUGAAUGUACUUUUCAGUCGCCUUUCUGUGUAUAUAACAAGAACCCUUUAAUAAAGAUUCUCUGACUUACCAUAUUCCUACCUCACCAUUCAUGUGAAAGUAUUUACAAAAGGUAAGAUUUCAUCACAGGUCCUCUUCCCGGCCUCACUUCCAGCCUUUAUCGUAAUUUUGAGAGGUAGGAAGCUCUUUUCUCUUUUGCACCAGAUUGGAGCACACAGAUCUACUGCUUUCCCUGUAUUCAAAAAAAGCAGCUGCAGUGAUUUUUGUUACUUACUGAUUAUGGUCUUCUCCAAAGGAGAAGUUUCAGAUGUGACACAGAGAUAUAAAGUAACUACAAAUUCUGUUCUGCACAAGAUUUUUAGUUAAAUCAUAAUGACCUAAUUAAGAAACUGAAGAUAAAGAAAAGAAUUGUCUGGAAAAAUUGAAAUCCUUAUAACAAAUUCUUUCAGAAUUGGCAUUAAAAAGAUUUGGAGAAGAAAUCAGUUGUCAGAACAACAUUGAGAAUUUGAGGGAGAGGGACUGUUGGGAUAUAUCACAGCUGAUCAGUCUGGCUGGUCUGAAAGAAGCUAGUCUGAAAUAAAACCUAAGGGAGGUCUUAUUAGAGGAUGGAAUUUAUACUACCUCAUUUCUGUGAAAACAUAGAAAAAACCUCCCUGCAUUUAAAAAUGAUACCCCUGCAAGAGGCUAAGCAUGCAAUUACGUUAGUGUUUUAGUUUGCACCAGCAGUGUCCUUUUCAAUGUACUGAUCAUCCACACUUAACAUGUUUUUAGGUUACAAUGUGAAGUGCACUUGGAGCAAAUAAAUACUUUUCUAUUAGUUGAAACAGGAAAACAAGAUUUAAUCCAGGUGCUUGCUUACUGCAGUCCAACCGUUCACUCCAUGGAUCAGACUAAAGCUAGUACAAAAAAAAACCAAAAACAAUUUUAGUCUCCAUAUGAGGUCAACUGUUUCACACUUUGCAAAUCUCCUCUGGUAGCAGAAUUAGUGCUAAUACAGAUAGAACCAGGAUGGGAAAAGUCAAGUCAACUUCACAAUUUUCCAAAGAGCUUUGUUAUUCAUAUUUACUUAUUUACUUUUUGGAGGAAAAAAGAAAAAAAAAAAAGAAAAAAAA
Molecule: long non-coding RNA, 1969 nt
Organism: Taeniopygia guttata (zebra finch)
Lineage: Eukaryota; Metazoa; Chordata; Aves; Passeriformes; Estrildidae
Source: Ensembl